UACGUAGGGUGCGAGCGUUGUCCGGAAUUAUUGGGCGUAAAGAGCUCGUAGGCGGUCUGUCGCGUCGAUCGUGAAAACUUGGGGCUUAACCCUGAGCCUGCAGUGGGUACGGGCAGACUAGAGUGUGGUAGGGGGGAGAUCGGAAUUCCUGGUGUAGCGGUGGAAUGCGCAGAUAUCAGGAGGAACACCGGUGGCGAAGGCGACACGCUGGGCCAUACCUGACGCUAAAGCGCGACAGCAUGGGGAGCAAACGGGAUAG
Molecule: ribosomal RNA, 259 nt
Filed under: uncultured bacterium
Lineage: Bacteria
Description: partial 16S ribosomal RNA
Rfam family: Bacterial small subunit ribosomal RNA
Source: RNAcentral